UCUCUGAGUUUUGUUUUGCAGUUUGACAGUCUCCGACGUUAAGGUGAUGCACCCCAGACACUGCGCACAGGUAGGUCCUAAUGAUCCAGGGCAUAGGUCUGGGAGUAUCCGCUGUGCAAGCAGCUCAUCCAGCCGGAAGGCCAACUCCAGUCACUCCGGAUAGGAACCUGGACCCUCCGCGAAACCUGACUCCUGCUGCUUGGGGCCCUCUUCACUGCCUGUUGGUUAGCUGCACUCGUGGGCAGCGAACAGGAUCAAUAAGACACCUCCGACUCUUCUAUUUACAAACUAGCUGCCUUCAGCAGCCAGGCUGUUUAAGCACUUCAUUCCCAUUCAGGAGGGCCAUCUGCUGCCUUUUGCCGUAAGUCUCUCUGAAAACCCCAGCCUUGACAAGCUAGAGAUAUGUCAGUGCAGUUAUCAGCAGAAAGCAACAUCUGCCAUGCCUGACACCCACUAUUGUAGGCCAUUUAAUCUGUCCCCCUCCUCCCUUUAACUGCAGACAACAGCUCCCUAUAUUAUAUUUUCCCACUCAAUUAGCACUAUCAUCCUGCUGAAAUAGAGGCCAAUUUACCUUUAAUGACAUCAUUGUUAGGAGAGUGGCAGCUCCUGGUCUGUGGCUGUCACUGGCUUGCAGGAGGCAGGCUUGUCUCUCUCCACUAACCCUGACAGAGGAAGGGAAGAGCAGGCAGCCUAUCCGAGGCAGCCUUCACCCCCGACCACAGACAUUGUUUCCGACAGUUCGCAGAAGCAGUGUGGCGGAAAAUUGAGUCCAGAUUCAUUAGGUUUUUCAGUGUGCUGCUCAAGUCAGUUAAAUUGAUACAUUUCCUAACAAAAUUGAAGUGCUUUGUGCUGCCAGCGGAAAGCCUGGUGACCCUGCUCGGCCCACUGAGCAGCCAAAACGAGUUGAUGGAUCCAUUAGGCCGCUCAGAAUGCUUUCCCCCUCUCCCUCCAUUCCUGAGUGACACUGUAAAUCUGAGCCAAUUUCAGUCCCUAAUCAUCAUUACAAACCCCUCCACUGUUCAUUUAUUACUCUACAAUUCUAAUACAGCACACGAAUGGGUCAGCACACAGGGAGCCAACACAACUGCACAGACAGGCUUAAAGAGCCCAUAAUCCUUCCCAGUCUUUAUCUGGGAAGCAAACCUGAUUCCCCUCCCAGCUCCCAAAGCCUGCUCUGGACUGGCAAUCAGAUGAGGUCUGCCUGGCCUGGAGAUCAGGAACAAGGGCUAUUUAGCUGCUUGGAAUUGGAGUGAGGGCUGCAUGGCAGAGGGAGAGGAAACAUCUGUCAGAUGUAGGCAUCAAAGGGAGACCUGGGGUAGGGGUCACAGCCAUGGCUGCCUGCUCUAGAAAUCAUAGUGCUGUGUGAUGCCUGCAAUGUCUUUUCUGGCAGGGGGCUGGGAUCAGCAGGAGGGAUGCCUGGCACAGGGACCAAAAUUAAGGUAAUUUGGCUUGGUUAUUGGAUUGACAGCUGUCUGGCGUGGCGGUCGCGUGGCAGAGACGUGGCAUGGUGAUGGCUUGAUGGCUGUGUGAAAUGGUGACUAUGUGUCAGGUAUCUGGUAAAGUGAUCAGAGUUUUGACUCUGUCUGAUGCGCUGGCCUACACAAGUUUUGCCUAGCAAGGAACGAAUGCACCAUGUGUGCUAUUGGGAAGAUGUUGAUCACUCUGGGCAGGUGGCUCAAGAGGGGUUAUUUGUGCUACCUAACUGAUGGCUUAUCAAGAUUCUCCUUUAACUCUAGAAAGAAAGCUCCUGCCACUGAACUCAUGGGUUCCCGACUCAGGUCUCUGCAAAGAUGAAUACAUCAUACCAGUGCCCAAACUGUGGUUCAAUCCUCCCUUGGGGGGAAGAUCAUUCAGUUACGGUGAGAUGAUGUAGCUGACCUGGCAGUGUGGGGCUUCAUGUCAUGAGACCACAAGGGGAGGCAGUCAAUGUCACCUCUCUUGCCGUCAAACCCUUCUUGAGGCAGUGAUGGCUUUUCAGGGGCCCGCCACCAGAUACACAAGAGUUUUCUACGCUGCAACGUAGCCACCCUGAGAAAGAUUCCUCUUCCAUCGCUGUGCAGAUCACGGUGAGCCUUCUAAGAUGCCCUGCAGACAGUGCUGAUCCUCAGCAGAAGGCAUGGUCAUAGUAGCUGAUGGAUAUGCCAGACCAGUAUGGUACACAGGCCUGGGUAUGUGAAACUUCACCAGCUGUCCAGAGAACUGGGAAUCCAUCAGCUGACAUCAGAGCCACCACCCAAACAUUUCCAGCUCACGUUAAAAAAAAGGUACAAGAAAUUAAAUCUACCCAUCACCAAAUAAAAGGCCAUAGUCUACUGUUCAUUGUUGUACAAAAUUCCCAUCGACACAAACUUCACUUAUCAAUUUAACUUUUAGGUGCUCAAACUGGACUCCAAUAUUGUGGAUGCAAUUUUGCACCUGCAAUUUGCAGGGGCAAUUUAUUACACCCACAACUAACCCUAUUAUAAUGCCUCAUUGCCUGAUUUGAAACUGCACACUGCAGUCAUAUCGCAAGGCUUCUGAAUGAGGGCAACUGCAUCCACAACAUGUGCCCACUAUAUCAGAGGCAGUUUGGGGGAAAUGUAGGCCUAAAUCCUUCUCCAUCUGUCCUGGUGUGACUUACUGUCCUGCACUUCACAGCAUUGCCAACUCCUGUGAUUUUAUCAUGAGUCUUGAAAUAUUUGGUGUUUUUCUGAAAGACUGGCAGCAUGUGGUUAGAGGGAAAUCUCAGCUAAAAAUAAAAGUUUCCCAGAACAGCUGGAAAACAGGCCCCAAACACACCUGGAACCCACUGGUGAGUUAGGAAUUUCAAGUCUUCCUCGUUGCUGCGCUGCAGAGAAUAUAUGAAUUGUUGCAGCUACCAAGCUCUGGCUCUUUAACUCAAGCUGGGACAGUUCAUGCUGGUUGUUCUGGAGGUCCCCAGUUCUCUCACUAGUGUGUCAGUGAAGAGGGUGGUUGUCCCACACCCUAAAGACCCCCAAACCAGAAGACAAGUAAAAAAGAACCUGAAAACAUUAUUUUAAAAAUACUCUCCUGCCUUCGGGGGCCCUGACUCACGAUUUUUGAAUGCUGGGGUUGGCAAUGCUGCAUGUAUUGACAUCUAAUUCUUUACUCUGAUCUUCCAAUAUCUUUUUUAACAUAAGUUAAAAAGUGUGUGUGUUUAUUUUAUAUUUACAAAAAAUACAUGCCCUUAUGCCACAAAGCAAAGGGUUCCAGCCAGCCCUUCAGUUUUUAAGUAAUGAGUCCAGCCAGGGAACAAAAAGUAUAGUGCUGGUUAGAAAACUUAUUCACUACUGUAAUCAUGCAUAACACAACAAGAAACCACCUCCUCUCACCAGCUCUCUCCAGUAUUAAUUUGCACAGAAUAAAGGCAACUAAAGAGGAGUUUAGAGCAUUCCCUUGCAGAAGCCCAGGCAGGCCUGGUGCUAGCUGGGCAGAAGGGAAAAGGUAAAUUAAAACACGUUAGCAGCACAUUAAAGAAGUCAAUACAAAGCACAACUUUGACUCAGGGCAGGUUGGGGGUGGUUCUUCUAAUGCAUAUAAAGCAGCCGGUUUGACAGCACUGGAGAGUAAAGCCCUCCAUUUAUUCAUAGACCAGACACAGCUCAAGCAAGGACAGUGCAAGCUACGGCCACUGCCCUACCUUAACUGGAAGCAUUCCAGCUCCAGGACAGAGCGGGCAAUUCAUCCCCUUGGCCUCUUUGCUCAGACUGCCAACAAUGAAGCCACUUGUAAUGGUGGUUUUGUGACACCUCUUCACUAGGAACUGACUGAGUCCAACUCAUUUCACAUAGGCCACUGAGCCACCAGCAGACGAUAAACACAGUCACUGUCAAGCCGAGCUUGAUUAGAACCAACAGCUUAGCAUGGAAUGAAAGGCUAGAUAGCUCCUGAGCCACCUCACCCCCUUUGGUAAGAUAUUGAUGUUUGAAUACAAGCGCUGGGCCAGAUUUUACAAGCAGUUGCCCCAGUGUAAACCCAGAAUAACUCUAUUAAAGGCAAUGGACUUACUCCGGAGUUACACUGGGACAUCUGAGACAAGAAAUGGGCCCAUUGCUUCCAAGAGCUGUGGAGAAUUGUAGAUUUCCUUUUGUGUCUGGGCAUCUCUCUGUUAAGUGUCUGUCUGUAUUGAAGACCAUAAUGGGUGUUAUAGGGCCAGAUCCUCAGCUGGCGUAAAUCCAUGUAGCUCCACUGAAGAAAAAUUGAUGGAACUCCACUGAGGCCAAGGGCAAAUGUUGGUGUGAAUCAGUGUGAUGGUCAGGGCCGAUAUUUCCUCUCUAUUCCAGCAGCUCCACUUUCUCUCUAGACUUCCCUUCAUGCAAUAAUUCUGAGCUGUCUUGUCAGCACAAUUUCGUAGCAUGCAAUGCCACAGGUUUGCCUUUCCUGCAGUAUUUUUGAGCAUGCUUUUUGGGAUCACUCUUUUGAAAUAUUGUAGGAAUGGCAGUACCAUGGUAUUUCUGCCAGGUCCUAUCCAGCUCCUAGUCAUGUUGUAGAGCUACUGUGAACAGAGAUGGGCAUUUCCGAUGGUAUUAAUUAAAAAAAUAACUAAACUUUGACUGAUCUUAUUUAUACUCUGAUAUAAUGCAAAGCCCUACCAAGUAAUACUUUCCAUUUCUUCCAUCAUGGGAUCUUAAAGUCCUUUUGAUGGUUGAUUAAAUAAACCUCACAACUGCAAGAUAUGCAGGUAGUGCUAUCUCCGUUUUACAGCUACAAAACAAAAGGCACAGAAGAACUUUCUUCAGGGGACACUGAAAGCUUACUCCAGAACUGGGAGUAGAUCCCAGAUCUCCUGGCACCCAGGCCUGAACUUUAGGCACAAGGCCAUCCUUCCCCACAAUAAAUGUCUGUCAAGUAGAGCUGUCAUCUAAAAAAUGUUCUGACAGUUUCCUUCUUUUGGAGAGAAGACUGUUGAAUUCUUUACUGGGGAUAAACACUAUCAAUUGGCAGGAAAGGAGGUGAAGACUCAGGGCUAGAUUCUGAUCUCUUUUACUCUGAUGUAAAUCUGGGGCAACAUCAUUAUCUCAGUGUACGCUGGAUAUACAAUGAUGUUUUUGAGAUCAGAAUCUGGCUCCCAUUAUCUAGCUUCUAAGAUUCUAUUUGCUCCACGCUGAAAAUAUAAGGGUCAGAUUCUGAUCUCAGUUACAUCAGUGUAAAUUAAGAGCAACUUCAUGGCCUUCAAUAAAGGUAGUCUGGAUUUAGACUGAUGUAAUAGAUGAGAGUCCUGCCCUAAUUAUCUACUUCUACCAUACAAAUUAUAUAUAAUGAACUGAAGUACAUAUGGAGGUCAGGACAUUAAAGGCUCGAAAAGGCCCCAAAAUAUGCAACCUGUGUUUACCCAAAACAGAGACAUCUGUAUCUCCAAAUUUAGAAAUGAUUUUCCUCUUUCCAAAUGGGUAAUAAAUCAGCAAGCACGGUACAUAUUUUUUUUUUUCUAUUUUGAAUUCUGUUAACUGACAAUUUAACCUAAAAGCCUUUGUAUUUUCUACUUGUACAGCUGUAAAUAGAGACUGACAGUUUAUUUUCAACAUCCUGGGUUUUUUUUUUUGUUUUUUUUUUUUAAAAAAACAUUUGAAAUAAAUACUUAUAGGUCCAUGACAGACGGGUAGCUGAUGCUCCAUAGCAAUCUCGUGGAGCUGUCACACUCUGUGAUCGGUCUUUUACAAACACAAACACUGUUGAUUUCUUAUCAAAUGUAAAACCUCCACUGCUCUUUCUUAAAUGGUUACUACUAGCAUGAAAUUGACAUUGUGAAUCACAUGUGACACUGACUUGUCUGCCUUGUAAUUGAUCUGUGCUUAGGAAAGAGACAGAGCCUGUACAAGCUUCAGUCCCAAUCACUGACUUUUCAGCACACACCAAACUCCCAGCAAUCUGCUCAGGACCCUAGUGAUAACAAAUUGUUGCAAAUGAUAGAAAACUAUAAAGGAGGAGAGAGGGAGAAAAAGAGCUUGAUUCAUCUAAGGGGUUGGGGGGGUUUUUUUACACUGAUUCUCUGAGGUGUCAAUUUCAAUUUCAAUUGAUUCAUUAUUAUGCAUCUCAAACUGCUGUAAUUGGCUGCUACAGAAAUGUAUUCCUUUUUGUAAAAAAAAAAAAAAGGAGGAGGAGGGAUGUGAGAUGGCACA
This is a long non-coding RNA of Chelonia mydas (Green sea turtle), 6119 nucleotides long. RefSeq lists it as uncharacterized. The transcript has 4 exons. NCBI's taxonomy places the organism in Eukaryota, Metazoa, Chordata, Testudines, Cheloniidae. The record is from RefSeq and is a predicted model, not a curated record.